GGAGUUAAGAAAUGUAAGUACGUUAAUACCGUACUUAUUUGACAAAGGCUCCAAAGGAAGCCACGGCUAACUCUGUGCCAGCAGCCGCGGUAAUACAGAGGUGGCGAGCGUUGUUCGGAAUUAUUGGGCGUAAAGAGCACGUAGGUGGGUUUGCAAGUCAGAUGUGAAAGCCUUCUGUUCAACGGAAGAAUUGCAUCUGAAACUGCUAAUAUUGAGUGUAGGAGGGGAGAGUGGAACUUCUGGU
This 244-nucleotide ribosomal RNA is filed under the name uncultured anaerobic ammonium-oxidizing bacterium. Its description in RNAcentral is "partial 16S ribosomal RNA". It matches the Rfam family "Bacterial small subunit ribosomal RNA", at positions 439 to 674 of the family's 1533-position model. The record is from RNAcentral.